AUUGAACGCUGGCGGCAGGCCUAACACAUGCAAGUCGAACGGUAACAGGAAGACGCUUGCUUCUUUGCUGACGAGUGGCGGCCGGGUGAGUAAUGUCUGGGAAACUGCCUGAUGGAGGGGGAUAACUACUGGAAACGGUAGCUAAUACCGCAUAACGUCGCAAGACCAAAGAGGGGGACCUUCGGGCCUCUUGCCAUCGGAUGUGCCCAGAUGGGAUUAGCUAGUAGGUGGGGUAACGGCUCACCUAGGCAACGAUCCCUAGCUGGUCUGAGAGGAUGACCAGACACACUGGAACUGAGACACGGUCCAGACUCCUACGGGAGGCAGCAGUGGGGAAUAUUGCACAAUGGGCGCAAGCCUGAUGCAGCCAUGCCGCGUGUAUGAAGAAGGCCUUCGGGUUGUAAAGUACUUUCAGCGGGGAGGAAGGGAGUAAAGUUAAUACCUUUGCUCAUUGACGUUACCCGCAGAAGAAGCACCGGCUAACUCCGUG
RNAcentral lists this ribosomal RNA (490 nucleotides) under uncultured bacterium. RNAcentral's name for it is "partial 16S ribosomal RNA". It matches the Rfam family "Bacterial small subunit ribosomal RNA", at positions 30 to 507 of the family's 1533-position model. The record is from RNAcentral.